CAGCCGCCGCGGUAAUACGGAGGGCGCGAGCGUUACCCGGAUUUACUGGGCGUAAAGGGCGCGUAGGCGGCCUGGGGCGUCCCAUGUGAAAGGCCACGGCUCAACCGUGGAGGAGCGUGGGAUACGCUCAGGCUAGAGGGUGGGAGAGGGUGGUGGAAUUCCCGGAGUAGCGGUGAAAUGCGCAGAUACCGGGAGGAACGCCGAUGGCGAAGGCAGCCACCUGGUCCACUUCUGACGCUGAGGCGCGAAAGCGUGGGGAGCAAACCGGAUUAGAUACCCGCGUAGUCCCUGUCUCUUAUAC
RNAcentral lists this ribosomal RNA (301 nucleotides) under uncultured bacterium. RNAcentral's name for it is "partial 16S ribosomal RNA". It matches the Rfam family "Bacterial small subunit ribosomal RNA", at positions 509 to 807 of the family's 1533-position model. The record is from RNAcentral.